UACAGAGGGUGCGAGCGUUGUCCGGAAUCACUGGGCGUAAAGGGCGCGUAGGUGGCCUGAUAAGGGUGUGGUGAAAGUCCGGGGCUCAACCCCGGAUCUGCCGUGCCGACUGUUAGGCUAGAGUACUGUAGGGGCAGGCGGAAUUCCGGGUGUAGCGGUGGAAUGCGUAGAGAUCCGGAGGAAGACCGGUGGCGAAGGCGGCCUGCUGGGCAGUUACUGACACUGAGGCGCGACAGCGUGGGGAGCAAACAGG
RNAcentral lists this ribosomal RNA (253 nucleotides) under uncultured bacterium. RNAcentral describes it as "partial 16S ribosomal RNA". It matches the Rfam family "Bacterial small subunit ribosomal RNA", at positions 524 to 776 of the family's 1533-position model. The record is from RNAcentral.